ACCUUCUACAGGAGCUUAGUGUUGGAUAUGUGUGGUUUUCUUGUGUGCAGUAUGACACCCGGGAAAGGAGAUAGCCUUAGAUAAUUAAAUACUGUUCUGUUUCCUAGCCACCCGUGGGGCUAUAUUUAUUUGGUCAGUUCAGUUGUGUUUUUCUGAAUCUAUGAACCUACAAGACCAGAGAGCUCAACUAAGUUCUCAGAAGGAUAGCAUGUAUGGUGAGCCUGUCCAGACAAUGCUCAACAUGCCAGAGAACAGAAGAUUUAAACAGUAUGUUGGCAGCACUUUAUUAUACUUGGUGUAGUUGCCUGAGACCUCCUAUCCAUAGUUCCUUCCUUCUUCCCUUCUUCCCUGCCUCCCUCCUCUCUCUUCAAAUAGAAUAUAUGUCUAGCAACACCAUAUGCCUGACACUGUCUGUUCUUCCUUGCCUUGGUGGUUCCUGACCAUGGGCUCUAGCCCUCAGUCCUCGUUCUCCAUCCUCCCUUCGAAGUGAGUGAUGAUGUGGGAUAUGUUUCCGCCUCAGGGAUUCAUCUCAGUUCCCACCAUCCACCCUCUUCAUCCUAACUCAGGUCCCUUGACACAGAACCUUCAGAUACUUGCUUACCUGAUCCAGCUUCUGUGACGAAAAAGGGCAGCAGUACUGUGACAGUCUUACUGGGUAAGUUCUGCUCUUUCUGUUCCUCUCAAUGCUGUGUGUCUGGGGAAGACCAGUGUAAGCACUGCAAGAUGAGCUUUCCAACUGAGCUGGAACGUUCAUGUCACCUGUGGGGAGGCCAGUACUCUGGUGUCUGGAGAGUAGCAGCAGCUACUUCUGGCAGUGGCUUCUCUGAGUGGAGGGCAGGAAUGGCCAAAUAAGUCUCUCAUUCUCACAUCUCUGGUCUUCACAGAUGACUAUAUCCAGGAUCCUUCAUGGUAUCCUGAGUCGGGGCGUGGGAUAACCUCUGUUCCCCUGCUGUGGUAUUUGUAAAAAUAUGAUGCCAGGUAUCAUGGAAUUUCCAUCUCUGGAGAGACUGAGGCAGGAGAUUUAUGAGUUGCUAGCUAGCCUGGUCUUCAGGCACUUGCUUUUUUUCUGGACUACAAAAGCAAGAACAAGUGCGGCUGUCCUCAAAAGUCACACUUGUCAUGUGAUACUUAAAAUAUAAUGUUUUCUCAUCAAUAAAAGAAGGUUCUGUUCAAUGGGAAAGUAUGGGAAGUAUUAGAGGGUGGGCAAAAUGUUUAUAGUCACUCAAAGAUGACCACUGCCAACAUUUGGCUAAUAAUGUUUGGUUUCUGUUUUAUUCCUAUAAAUAUACUCAUGUGUGCUUGUGUGUGUGUGUGUGUGUGUGUGUGUGUGUGUGUGUGUUUAAUUGAGCUUCAUUGCUAUUUUUUCUCAUCUGCCUGUCUAUCCUAAACUCUGCCCCAUGGCAUUCAGUAAUUUAUCAUCUUUGGUUUUUUUGUUUUUUUGUUUUUUGAUUUUUUGUUUGUUUGUUUGUUUUUUAACAAAAGAGUCUAGAUAAUAUAUAUAAUUAACACUUGCUCUGUGCAUGUCCAUCUGGAACCAGGUGCAAAAGCUGGGUGGCAUUUGUUAGGUACCUUCUCUGCGUGUUCCCCUCUCCAGUUUGUUCUAGUGUCUUGCUGUUCUUUAUACAAGCAAGUGGCUCUGUCAGGAGGCAGGAACACGAGGCCAAAUUGCCCUCUGAAAACUUUUUUGCCCAUUGCAUUUUCAGAAUUAGUUUGAGAAAGUGCCUGCUGCUCUGAGAAUUAUCAGAGUUUUUAACCUUUGCCGAUUUGUCAAAACAUGACAUUUCACUCUUUCCAUCCCCACAGCUUUUAUCCCGGCGGUGGCGGCACAGAGCACACCCCACCCUCUUUGUGGGGUGUUUGUAUCUGAAUUGCUAGCUCAGCCUCCUUGCACUUUCCAUUAUUCCUGUAGUUUUUAUGUUUUUUUUUUUCUUUUUUUUUUUUUUUCUGUCAAACUCAUGCAUACACAUCAUUUUAAGAGCCAGAUCCUUCUACAAGGUUGUCAGAGAAGCGUCAGCCCUCCUGCCUCCCAGCUCCACCCGAAUAUUAUGCAUUACCUGUAACUGCCUUAACAGAUUCGCUUGACAUUUACAUCCUAAUGCUAAGUAACAUUCUUGUUUUUCUGCUCCUUGAUUUUCUUUGUGUGUGUGUGAUUUUUUUUUUUUUUUUUUAGUCUUAGGCAUCAUUUUGAUUGCUCUAUUGUUGAAGACAAGCAUUUAACGCUCUUUUUACAUAUGCCCCUGUCUUCACCCUGCACACACAACCCUGUACUAUCCUCCCAAUAGAUUAUUUUGAAACACUUGCUUUAUCAAUACUUAAGAGGUUACACCCCUUGUUGAGUAUUAUGAACACUCUCACAAAGCAUAACAACCUGGACCUGAGUAUUUAUCUUCUCCCUAGUAUUUUUGCUCUUCUGGAGUCUGUGUGUGUGUGUGUGUGUGUGUGUGUGUGUGUGUGUUGUGUUGUUUUUUGUGUAGCUCAGGCUAACUCACAGCCUUCCCAUGUAUGCAGAAACAUGAAGUGUUUAAGAGAUACGUAUAUCAUCUUGAAGAAAUUUCUUCCUGGAGUCAGCUUCAUGUCUUCUUAUGGGCUAGCUCAUCUUUAGGCUGACACCAUCUUGAUCUUCCCAUCUCCUCCUAAGAACAGGUUCCUUUGGUUUUCUCUCUCUCUCUUAGAUGGGUUGCUGAUUUUUAUAGAUGCCAUGAUAUUCUUUUUGUCAGGAGGGGAGUUAUCCCCAUUUUGCUAGAAUAUCAAGAAAAAAUUUGCAUAAUCAAUUGUCCACAUUGACAUUGAUAAAUCAGCUAGGUAUAAAAUUCUCAGUUACAGAGUCUUUCCCUCAGAUUUUCAGAAAUACAUGGACUUGAAAAAACAGGUUAGAAACUCUCAGGUUAAGAAAGAGAUGGAGAUGGAGAUGAGCAUCAGUGUACCAAUAAUAACAGGGAUACAAAAGCCUUGUCUUCUAGCUUCCAGGCCUACUGUGAAAAGCCGUAAGCCCUUGUCUUUGCUCAGUCUUGAGGGAAUGUGUACUAUUUUCCUGUUUUCUCUCUUUGUAUUAGAAUUUCAUUGCUGUAUGUUGAUUUGGAUAUAUGCUCAUCUACUUUCUUUUGAUCCAAAACUUUCUCUUUUAACUCUUGAAGCUAUUUUUUCACCCUCUUUCUUUCAUUCUUUCACCCUGAGGACCUUAAUUAUAUAUGGAAUCACCUUGACUGAUUGUAUAGUGUUACAAAGUCCUUCCCUCCAGUUUUGCUCUAUUAAUUUUUACUCAAAUGCUCCCUCCCUCCCUCCCUCCCUUCCUUCCUUCCUUCCUUCCUUCCUUCCUUCCUUCCUUCACUUUACAUUUAAUUAUUUUCCAUUAAGGCUUUUAUUCUAAAAUUGUGGUGUUAGUGAGAUGGAUUAACAAUUAAGAGCUUGGAAUGUCCUUAUAGAGGACCAGGGUUUGGUUCCCAGCACCCAUGGUGGGUGGCUUACAAUCACUUUUUACCUAGAGUUAUGUGAGACCUGAUGGUCUUUUCUAGCAAUGGUUGUACCUUAAUGCAUGCAUGUGUGUACACAUGUGUGUGGAUGCACACAUACACAUAUACCUCUUCCCCCUCAUACACAUGCGCGUGCCCAUGUGAGCACAUACACAUGCACACACACACGAAAAUAUUAAAGUAACUCUUAAAGUUAAAAAUUGUUAGGUUAAAGAAAUAAAUCAUUUCACUUUUUCCUUAUAUUUUUUCAUUUGCAUUUUUGUUUGAAUAAAAAAGUAUUUCAAUAACAAAGCUCAUAUAGUCAUUUUGUUCUAGACUUCUGUAAUUUUUAUGUCUUCUAUUUCAACAUUUACACCAUUAAUUCAUUAUAAUAAUAUCUUAUUUCUACCUUUAUUGUAUUGCAUAUCAUCUUUAAAAUCUGUGUAAGUGUUUUGGUUGCGUGUAUCUGUACAUUAUGUCUGUGCAAUGCUGAUGUUGACUGAAGAGGUAUUGGUCCCCAAGAAACUAGAGUUAGAGGUGCCUGUAAACCAUCACAUGGUAACCAAACAUGGCUCUUCUGCAAGACCAGCUAGUGCUCUUAAACAUUGAGCCAUAUCUUCAGCCCCCUAUACAGGCCUCUACUGUUUUGAUUCCUGUGUUGAUUUUGCUCACUUGUAUUGGCUUACUAAAUUCUUAGGCCAGCUGUAGUUUGUUUUCAUUAAUUACGCCAUAUUGGCAAUAGUCUUCCUUUAAUUUUUAAAUUUUUUUUCCCUUUUAGUCUGAUUUGUUUUUCAGGUGGAUUAUAACGAUACUGUGAAUCUUUAAACAGUCUAGAUUUUCUGUGGACUUUAUAAAGUUGUCCAUCAAAGCCAGACAUAGUGGUGCAUGCCUGAAAUCCUAGCACUCGGGAGGCUGAUGUAGAAGGAUCUUGAGCUCAAGACCAGACUGGCUACAUAGGGAAACACUGUCUC
RNAcentral lists this long non-coding RNA (4420 nucleotides) under Mus pahari (shrew mouse). RNAcentral describes it as "lncRNA (MGP_PahariEiJ_G0006362.1)". The record is from RNAcentral. Lineage: Eukaryota; Metazoa; Chordata; Mammalia; Rodentia; Muridae.